Small nuclear RNA from Thrips palmi, 116 nucleotides. RefSeq annotates it as U4atac minor spliceosomal RNA. The record is from RefSeq and is a predicted model, not a curated record. NCBI's taxonomy places the organism in Eukaryota, Metazoa, Arthropoda, Insecta, Thysanoptera, Thripidae. The transcript has a single exon.
GUCUUCCUUGUCUUGGGGAGCAUUAUGUCCAAUGAUUGUCUAGAGAGGGCAUAGAUGCUGACACCAAUAUUUAAACCGCACGCGCCCAGACAUGUCUGAGCGCAAUUUUUGGAAGC